ACGAACGCUGGCGGCGUGCUUAACACAUGCCAGUCGAACGGAAAGGCCCUGCUUUUGUGGGGUGCUCGAGUGGCGAACGGGUGAGUAACACGUGAGUAACCUGCCCUUGACUUUGGGAUAACUUCAGGAAACUGGGGCUAAUACCGGAUAGGAGCUCCUGCUGCAUGGUGGGGGUUGGAAAGUUUCGGCGGUUGGGGAUGGACUCGCGGCUUAUCAGCUUGUUGGUGGGGUAGUGGCUUACCAAGGCUUUGACGGGUAGCCGGCCUGAGAGGGUGACCGGCGACAUUGGGACUGAGAUACGGCCCAGACUCCUACGGGAGGCAGCAGUGGGGAAUAUUGCACAAUGGGCGGAAGCCUGAUGCAGCAACGCCGCGUGCGGGAUGACGGCCUUCGGGUUGUAAACCGCUUUCGCCUGUGACGAAGCGUGAGUGACGGUAAUGGGUAAAGAAGCACCGGCUAACUACGUG
RNAcentral lists this ribosomal RNA (467 nucleotides) under uncultured bacterium. RNAcentral describes it as "partial 16S ribosomal RNA". It matches the Rfam family "Bacterial small subunit ribosomal RNA", at positions 29 to 507 of the family's 1533-position model. The record is from RNAcentral.